GACGAACGCUGGCGGCGUGCCUAACACAUGCAAGUCACGGGGGCUUGGGGGCGACUCUGAGCAACCGGCGAACGGGUGCGUAACACGUGAGCAACCUGCCGAUCUGUGGGGGAUAGCCGGGCUAACGCCCGGGUAAUACCGCAUACGGUUCCUGCGAGGCGUCUUGCGGGAAAGAAACCUCUGGGGCAGAUCGAGGGGCUCGCGGCCUAUCAGCUGGUUGGGGGGUAAUGGCCCACCAAGGCGACGACGGGUAGCUGGUCUGAGAGGAUGGCCAGCCACAUUGGGACUGAGAGACGG
Molecule: ribosomal RNA, 297 nt
Filed under: uncultured bacterium
Lineage: Bacteria
Description: partial 16S ribosomal RNA
Rfam family: Bacterial small subunit ribosomal RNA
Source: RNAcentral